CAGUAGCCGCGGUAAUACGUAGGGUGCAAGCGUUAAUCGGAAUUACUGGGCGUAAAGCGUGCGCAGGCGGUUAUAUAAGACAGAUGUGAAAUCCCCGGGCUCAACCUGGGAACUGCAUUUGUGACUGUAUAGCUAGAGUACGGCAGAGGGGGAUGGAAUUCCGCGUGUAGCAGUGAAAUGCGUAGAUAUGCGUAGGAACACCGAUGGCGAAGGCAAUCCCCUGGGCCUGUACUGACGCUCAUGCACGAAAGCGUGGGGAGCAAACAGGAUUAGAUACCCCUGUAGUCCCUGUCUCUUAUAC
RNAcentral lists this ribosomal RNA (301 nucleotides) under uncultured bacterium. RNAcentral's name for it is "partial 16S ribosomal RNA". It matches the Rfam family "Bacterial small subunit ribosomal RNA", at positions 509 to 807 of the family's 1533-position model. The record is from RNAcentral.